UACGAAGGUGGCGAGCGUUGUUCGGAAUCACUGGGCAUAAAGCGCACGUAGGCGGCGACGUAAGUUGGGUGUGAAAUCCCUCGGCCCAACCGAGGAACUGCGCCCAGUACUGCGUUGCUUGAGGAUCCAAGGGGUGCAUGGAAUUCCCGGUGGAGCGGUGAAAUGCGUUGAUAUCGGGAGGAACUCCGGCGGCGAAAGCGGUGCACUGGUGGAUUACUGACGCUGAGGUGCGAAAGCCAGGGGAGCAAACGGG
Molecule: ribosomal RNA, 253 nt
Filed under: uncultured bacterium
Lineage: Bacteria
Description: partial 16S ribosomal RNA
Rfam family: Bacterial small subunit ribosomal RNA
Source: RNAcentral